GGGGGCGAUUCGGCUUCGACGUGGGUUGCAAAGCAGUGCAGGGCAUACCGAGGAUCAGUUACCUCGUAAAUACAUCUGAAAAAAAAUAGUCGCAAACGACGAAAAUUACGCUUUAGCCGCUUAAUCCGGCUGAACUCCACACCGGUGGGCCUCAACGCCGGGUCUGGCAACAGACAGUGGAGUCACUAACGAGGAUCGUAUUUCGCAGGGUUACUUUGCGAAGUACUAAAUAAUAGGUAACUCGCCUUUCAUCAGCCUGCCAGCUGGCGGGUGACAGGUUAAAUCAAAUAAACUUGGCUAAGUAUGUAGAACUGUCUGUAGAGGGCUUGCGGACGCGGGUUCAAUUCCCGCCGCCUCCACCA
Molecule: non-coding RNA, 362 nt
Organism: Nitrosomonas communis
Lineage: Bacteria; Pseudomonadati; Pseudomonadota; Betaproteobacteria; Nitrosomonadales; Nitrosomonadaceae
Rfam family: transfer-messenger RNA
About the family: Bacterial tmRNA, also known as 10Sa RNA or SsrA, is named for its dual tRNA and mRNA-like properties. Its role is to liberate the mRNA from a stalled ribosome. To accomplish this part of the tmRNA is used as a reading frame that ends in a translation stop signal.
Source: Rfam